AGCGAACGCUGGCGGCAGGCAUAACACAUGCAAGUCGAACGAACCUUUCGGGGUUAGUGGCGGACGGGUGGGUAACACGUGGGAACGUGCCUUUAGGUUCGGAAUAACUCAGGGAGACUUGUGCUAAUACCGCAUGUGCCCUGCGGGGGAAAGAUUUAUCGCCUUUAGAGCGGCCCGCGCCUGAUUAGCUAGUUGGUUGAGGUAAUGGCUCACCAAGGCGACGAUCAGUAGCUGGUCUGAGAGGAUGUUCCGCCACAGUGGGACUGAGACACGGCCCAAACUCCUACGGGACGCAGCAGUGGGGAAUCUUGCGCAAUGGGCGAAAGCCUGACGCAGCCAUGCCGCGUGAAUGAUGAAGGUCUUAGGAUUGUAAAAUUCUUUCACCGGGGACGAUAAUGACGGUACCCGGAGAAGAAGCCCCGGCUAACUUCGUG
Molecule: ribosomal RNA, 434 nt
Filed under: uncultured bacterium
Lineage: Bacteria
Description: partial 16S ribosomal RNA
Rfam family: Bacterial small subunit ribosomal RNA
Source: RNAcentral